This 450-nucleotide ribosomal RNA is filed under the name uncultured bacterium. RNAcentral describes it as "bacterial SSU rRNA". It matches the Rfam family "Bacterial small subunit ribosomal RNA", at positions 355 to 825 of the family's 1533-position model. The record is from RNAcentral.
UGGGGAAUAUUGGACAAUGGGCGAAAGCCUGAUGGAGCGACGUCGCGUGAUGGACGAAGUGCUUCGGCACGUAAACAUCUUUUAUGUGGGAUGAAAUUAUUGACAGUACCACAUGAAUAAGGGGCUCCUAACUCUGUGCCAGCAGGAGCGGUAAUACAGGGGCCCCAAGCGUUAUCCGGAAUCACUGGGCGUAAAGGGUGUCGAGGCGGUUGUAUUAGUCGUUCGUAAAAUCUACGAGCUUAACUUGUAGGCGGCGAACGAAACGGUACGACUUGAGGUUUGGAGAGGUGCGUGGAACUCACGGUGUAGGGGUGAAAUCCGUUGAUAUCGUGGGGAACACCAAAGGCGAAGGCAGCGCACUGGCCAAAAUCUGACGCUCACACACGAAAGCUAGGGUAGCGAAGAGGAUUAGAUACCCACGUAGUCCCUGAGCGGGCUGGCAAGGCGCAU